GGCGUGCUUAACACAUGCAAGUCGAACGGUGAAGCUCCAAGCUUGCUUGGGGUGGAUCAGUGGCGAACGGGUGAGUAACACGUGAGCAACCUGCCCCGGACUCUGGAAUAAGCGCUGGAAACGGCGUCUAAUACUGGAUAUGACAUCAAGCCGCAUGGUUAUGGUGUGGAAAGUUUUUCGGUCCGGGAUGGGCUCGCGGCCUAUCAGCUUGUUGGUGAGGUAAUGGCUCACCAAGGCGACGACGGGUAGCCGGCCUGAGAGGGCGACCGGCCACACUGGGACUGAGACACGGCCCAGACUCCUACGGGAGGCAGCAGUGGGGAAUAUUGCACAAUGGGCGAAAGCCUGAUGCAGCGACGCCGCGUGAGGGAUGACGGCCUUCGGGUUGUAAACCUCUUUCAGCAGGGAAGAAGCGAAAGUGACGGUACCUGCAGAAGAAGCACCGGCUAACUACGUGCCAGCAGCCGCGGUAAUACGUAGGGUGCGAGCGUUGUCCGGAAUUAUUGGGCGUAAAGAGCUUGUAGGCGGUUUGUCGCGUCUGCUGUGAAAAUCCGGGGCUCAACCCCGGACUUGCAGUGGGUACGGGCAGACUAGAGUGUGGUAGGGGAGACUGGAAUUCCUGGUGCAGCGGUGAAAUGCGCAGAUAUCAGGAGGAACACCGAUGGCGAAGGCAGGUCUCUGGGCCACUACUGACGCUGAGAAGCGAAAGCAUGGGGAGCGAACAGGAUUAGAUACCCUGGUAGUCCAUGCCGUAAACGUUGGGCGCUAGGUGUGGGACUCAUUCCACGAGUUCCGUGCCGCAGCUAACGCAUUAAGCGCCCCGCCUGGGGAGUACGGCCGCAAGGCUAAAACUCAAAGGAAUUGACGG
RNAcentral lists this ribosomal RNA (868 nucleotides) under uncultured Janibacter sp. RNAcentral's name for it is "bacterial SSU rRNA". It matches the Rfam family "Bacterial small subunit ribosomal RNA", at positions 41 to 916 of the family's 1533-position model. The record is from RNAcentral. Lineage: Bacteria; Bacillati; Actinomycetota; Actinomycetes; Micrococcales; Intrasporangiaceae.